Molecule: microRNA precursor, 127 nt
Filed under: Myotis brandtii (Brandt's bat)
Lineage: Eukaryota; Metazoa; Chordata; Mammalia; Chiroptera; Vespertilionidae
Description: mir-9193 microRNA precursor family
Rfam family: mir-9193 microRNA precursor family
Source: Rfam by way of RNAcentral
UGUGCACUGGUGGGGUCCCUUGGCCUGGCCUGCACCCUCUCGAGAUCCAGGACCCCUCGGGGGAUGUUGGAGAGCUGGAUUUGGCCCAAUACCUGCAGGCCAGGCCGAGGGACCCCACCAGUGCAUG